CCAACAGCUAGAGUUUGAUCCUGGCUCAGGAUGAACGCUAGCGACAGGCUUAACACAUGCAAGUCGAGGGGCAGCACAGGUAGCAAUACCGGGUGGCGACCGGCGCACGGGUGAGUAACGCGUAUGCAACUUACCUAUCAGAGGGGGAUAACCCGGCGAAAGUCGGACUAAUACCGCAUGAAGCAGGGGCCCCGCAUGGGGAUAUUUGCUAAAGAUUCAUCGCUGAUAGAUAGGCAUGCGUUCCAUUAGGCAGUUGGCGGGGUAACGGCCCACCAAACCGACGAUGGAUAGGGGUUCUGAGAGGAAGGUCCCCCACAUUGGUACUGAGACACGGACCAAACUCCUACGGGAGGCAGCAGUGAGGAAUAUUGGUCAAUGGGCGUAAGCCUGAACCAGCCAAGUCGCGUGAGGGAUGAAGGUUCUAUGGAUCGUAAACCUCUUUUAUAAGGGAAUAAAGUGCGGGACGUGUCCCGUUUUGUAUGUACCUUAUGAAUAAGGAUCGGCUAACUCCGUGCCAGCAGCCGCGGUAA
Molecule: ribosomal RNA, 530 nt
Filed under: uncultured bacterium
Lineage: Bacteria
Description: bacterial SSU rRNA
Rfam family: Bacterial small subunit ribosomal RNA
Source: RNAcentral